RNAcentral lists this ribosomal RNA (497 nucleotides) under uncultured bacterium. Its description in RNAcentral is "partial 16S ribosomal RNA". It matches the Rfam family "Bacterial small subunit ribosomal RNA", at positions 28 to 507 of the family's 1533-position model. The record is from RNAcentral.
GAUGAACGCUGGCGGCGUGCCUAAUACAUGCAAGUCGAGCGAACGGACGAGAAGCUUGUUUCUCUGUUGUUAGCGGCGGACGGGUGAGUAACACGUGGAUAACCUCCCUAUAAGACUGGGAUAACUUCUGGAAACCGGAGCUAAUACCGGAUGAUAUUUUGAACCGCAUGGUUCAAAAGUGAAAGACGGUCUUGCUUUCACUUAUCGAUGGAUCCGCGCUGCAUUAGCUAGUUGGUAAGGUAACGGCUUACCAAGGCAACGAUGCAUAGCCGACCUGAGAGGGGGAUCGGCCACACGGGAACUGAAACAGGGUCAAGACUCCUACGGGAGGCAGCAGAAGGGAAUCUGCCGCAAUGGGCGAAAGCCUGACGGAGCAAGGCCGCGUGAGUGAUGAAGGUCUUCGGAUCGUAAAACUCUGUUAUUAGGGAAAAACAUAUGUGGAAGGAACUGUGCACAGAGUGACGGUAACUAAUCAGAAAGCCACGGCUAACUACGUG